RNAcentral lists this ribosomal RNA (465 nucleotides) under Vreelandella stevensii. RNAcentral's name for it is "partial 16S ribosomal RNA". It matches the Rfam family "Bacterial small subunit ribosomal RNA", at positions 338 to 795 of the family's 1533-position model. Lineage: Bacteria; Pseudomonadati; Pseudomonadota; Gammaproteobacteria; Oceanospirillales; Halomonadaceae. The record is from RNAcentral.
CCUACGGGUGGCAGCAGUGGGGAAUAUUGGACAAUGGGGGCAACCCUGAUCCAGCCAUGCCGCGUGUGUGAAGAAGGCCCUCGGGUUGUAAAGCACUUUCAGUGAGGAAGAACGCCUGGUGGUUAAUACCCAUCAGGAAAGACGUCACUCACAGAAGAAGCACCGGCUAACUCCGUGCCAGCAGCCGCGGUAAUACGGAGGGUGCGAGCGUUAAUCGGAAUUACUGGGCGUAAAGCGCGCGUAGGUGGCUUGAUAAGCCGGUUGUGAAAGCCCCGGGCUCAACCUGGGAACGGCAUCCGGAACUGUCAAGCUAGAGUGCAGGAGAGGAAGGUAGAAUUCCCGGUGUAGCGGUGAAAUGCGUAGAGAUCGGGAGGAAUACCAGUGGCGAAGGCGGCCUUCUGGACUGACACUGACACUGAGGUGCGAAAGCGUGGGUAGCAAACAGGAUUAGAUACCCUUGUAGUC